GAUGAACGCUGGCGGCGUGCCUAAUACAUGCAAGUCGAGCGAACAGAUGAGGAGCUUGCUCCUCUGACGUUAGCGGCGGACGGGUGAGUAACACGUGGAUAACCUACCUAUAAGACUGGGAUAACUUCGGGAAACCGGAGCUGAUACCGGAUAAUAUAUUGAACCGCAUGGUUCAAUAGUGAAAGACGGUUUUGCUGUCACUUAUAGAUGGAUCCGCGCCGCAUUAGCUAGUUGGUAAGGUAACGGCUUACCAAGGCAACGAUGCGUAGCCGACCUGAGAGGGUGAUCGGCCACACUGGAACUGAGACACGGUCCAGACUCCUACGGGAGGCAGCAGUAGGGAAUCUUCCGCAAAGGGCGAAAGCCUGACGGAGCAACGCCGCGUGAGUGAUGAAGGUCUUCGGAUCGUAAAACUCUGUUAUUAGGGAAGAACAAAUGUGUAAGUAACUAUGCACGUCUUGACGGUACCUAAUCAGAAAGCCACGGCUAACUACGUG
This 497-nucleotide ribosomal RNA is filed under the name uncultured bacterium. RNAcentral describes it as "partial 16S ribosomal RNA". It matches the Rfam family "Bacterial small subunit ribosomal RNA", at positions 28 to 507 of the family's 1533-position model. The record is from RNAcentral.